RNAcentral lists this transfer RNA (74 nucleotides) under bacterium. Its description in RNAcentral is "tRNA-Trp". It matches the Rfam family "tRNA". From Rfam's summary of the family: Transfer RNA (tRNA) molecules are approximately 80 nucleotides in length. Their secondary structure includes four short double-helical elements and three loops (D, anti-codon, and T loops). Further hydrogen bonds mediate the characteristic L-shaped molecular structure. tRNAs have two regions of fundamental functional importance: the anti-codon, which is responsible for specific mRNA codon recognition, and the 3' end, to which the tRNAs corresponding amino acid is attached (by aminoacyl-tRNA synthetases). tRNAs cope with the degeneracy of the genetic code in two manners: having more than one tRNA (with a specific anti-codon) for a particular amino acid; and 'wobble' base-pairing, i.e. permitting non-standard base-pairing at the 3rd anti-codon position. The record is from RNAcentral.
GGGGGUGUAGUUUAGCGGUAAAAUUAUGGUCUCCAAAACCAUCGUCGGGGGUUCGAUCCCCUCCGCCCCUGCCA